CAUGACUAUCAGCUUCCUAAUAUCAAAAGCAUAAACAAAAAAAUAGCAUCAACUAUCUCCCUAAAGACUUGGUCUUCAAGCACUUGUUGCAUAUCCAGUUUUAAGCAACUCCUUAGCAAUUAUUCAACCUAUUAUUCAGUCCACAUGUAGCUGUUUAAGCACUUUCCAACAAAAAUGAUCAAGAUUUAUGCAAUUGCCUUUGCAAAUGAAUGCCAAUUGGCAAUACUGAUUCAAGAUCAUUAAAAUUUUGCAAUUUUCUUGUACUACAUCAAAGCUAAAUCCAUUGUCCUUGGACAAAUGUGUUCGUGCCAAAGAUGAAAUAACUUAUUGUCAGUUAAGCACCAACCUCUGUGCUAUCACAAGAUGCACAUGAAUAUUACCAUAAACUAGCUUACAAAAUGUCUACAUGGUAAGGGGCACAAAUCAACCACCAUUACUAAUUUAUAAUAGCAUUCUCACUUUUCGGCACCAAAUAACUGAGACAGCUUAACCACCAUUACUAGUUAGGCGCAUAAAUCAACAAUCAUUACUAAUUUAGAAUAACAUGGCAGUAGUCCCCUCCAUAGUAUGCUCUAUAACCGUUUUUCUUUCUUGAUCUGACUUGUCCAUUUACAUCAUCCUUGCAUAACACCAUAGCAUAACAACUGAGUAUUCACUUUCUCCAGCACAUUUGAAACAACUCAGACAUAGUGCCUACAGCAAAAGAAUUAGAGCCUUAUUUAUAAAGAAAAAAACACAUUUGGUCAUUGUAGGUGGAAGUGUGAACUGAAGCAAAAUAAAUAUAUAUUUACUCCACAAUUGCAGUAACCAAUAACCAUUACAGAAUCAGCUGUUUCACAACGAUUGCAAAAC
This 852-nucleotide long non-coding RNA is filed under the name Olea europaea subsp. europaea. Lineage: Eukaryota; Viridiplantae; Streptophyta; Magnoliopsida; Lamiales; Oleaceae. The record is from RNAcentral.